AAAGAAUUAGUUAAAUAGAUAACACUAGCCUGUCACGCUAAAAUUACUCUAAGAGUAUUCUUUA
RNAcentral lists this transfer RNA (64 nucleotides) under Eurythoe complanata. RNAcentral's name for it is "tRNA-Asp". It matches the Rfam family "tRNA". Rfam says of the family: Transfer RNA (tRNA) molecules are approximately 80 nucleotides in length. Their secondary structure includes four short double-helical elements and three loops (D, anti-codon, and T loops). The record is from RNAcentral. Lineage: Eukaryota; Metazoa; Annelida; Polychaeta; Eunicida; Amphinomidae.